RNAcentral lists this ribosomal RNA (430 nucleotides) under Pseudomonadota bacterium. RNAcentral's name for it is "Proteobacteria bacterium partial 16S ribosomal RNA". It matches the Rfam family "Bacterial small subunit ribosomal RNA", at positions 355 to 776 of the family's 1533-position model. The record is from RNAcentral. Lineage: Bacteria; Pseudomonadati; Pseudomonadota.
UGGGGAAUAUUGGACAAUGGGGGGAACCCUGAUCCAGCCAUGCCGCGUGUGUGAAGAAGGCCUUAUGGUUGUAAAGCACUUUAAGCGAGGAGGAGGGUACUGGUAUUACUACUACCAGGUACUGGACGUUACUCGCAGAAUAAGCACCGGCUAACUCUGUGCCAGCAGCCGCGGUAAUACAGAGGGUGCAAGCGUUAAUCGGAUUUACUGGGCGUAAAGCGCGCGUAGGCGGCUAAUUAAGUCAAAUGUGAAAUCCCCGAGCUUAACUUGGGAAUUGCAUUCGAUACUGGUUAGCUAGAGUGUGGGAGAGGAUGGUAGAAUUCCAGGUGUAGCGGUGAAAUGCGUAGAGAUCUGGAGGAAUACCGAUGGCGAAGGCAGCCAUCUGGCCUAACACUGACGCUGAGGUGCGAAAGCAUGGGGAGCAAACAGG